Molecule: non-coding RNA, 89 nt
Filed under: Ligilactobacillus equi
Lineage: Bacteria; Bacillati; Bacillota; Bacilli; Lactobacillales; Lactobacillaceae
Also listed under: 1 other name
Description: Lactobacillus equi TPP sequence
Rfam family: TPP riboswitch aptamer (THI element)
About the family: Vitamin B(1) in its active form thiamin pyrophosphate (TPP) is an essential coenzyme that is synthesised by coupling of pyrimidine and thiazole moieties in bacteria. The previously detected thiamin-regulatory element, thi box was extended, resulting in a new, highly conserved RNA secondary structure, the THI element, which is widely distributed in eubacteria and also occurs in some archaea.
Source: RNAcentral
UGAUGAUAGUUGGGGUGCCUUCUGGCUGAGAAAUACCCAUUGAACCUGAUCUGAUUAACAUCAGCGGAGGGAACUAUGUGUAAAAAAGA